CCAGACUCCUACGGGAGGCAGCAGUGGGGAAUAUUGCACAAUGGGCGGAAGCCUGAUGCAGCAACGCCGCGUGCGGGAUGACGGCCUUCGGGUUGUAAACCGCUUUCGCCUGUGACGAAGCGUGAGUGACGGUAAUGGGUAAAGAAGCACCGGCUAACUACGUGCCAGCAGCCGCGGUGAUACGUAGGGUGCGAGCGUUGUCCGGAUUUAUUGGGCGUAAAGGGCUCGUAGGUGGUUGAUCGCGUCGGAAGUGUAAUCUUGAGGCUUAACCCUGAGCGUGCUUUCGAUACGGGUUGACUUGAGGAAGGUAGGGGAGAAUGGAAUUCCUGGUGGAGCGGUGGAGUGCGCAGAUACCAGGAGGAACACCAGUGGCGAAGGCGGUUCUCUGGGCCUUUCCUGACGCUGAGGAGCGAAAGCGUGGGGAGCGAACAGGCUUAGAUACCCUGGUAGUCCACGCUGUAAACGGUGGGCACUAGGUGUGGGGUCCAUUCCACGGGUUCCGUGCCGUAGCUAACGCUUUAAGUACCCCGCCUGGGGAGUACGGCCGCAAGGCUAAAACUCAAAGGAAUUGACGGGGGCCCGCACAAG
RNAcentral lists this ribosomal RNA (588 nucleotides) under uncultured bacterium. RNAcentral describes it as "bacterial SSU rRNA". It matches the Rfam family "Bacterial small subunit ribosomal RNA", at positions 331 to 929 of the family's 1533-position model. The record is from RNAcentral.